RNAcentral lists this ribosomal RNA (459 nucleotides) under uncultured bacterium. Its description in RNAcentral is "partial 16S ribosomal RNA". It matches the Rfam family "Bacterial small subunit ribosomal RNA", at positions 338 to 795 of the family's 1533-position model. The record is from RNAcentral.
CCUACGGGUGGCUGCAGUGAGGAAUAUUGGUCAAUGGCCGAAAGGCUGAACCAGCCAUGCCGCGUGAAGGUCAAUGCCCUAUGGGCGUUAAACUUCUUUUGUGCGGGGGCAAUAAUGGUCACGUGUGGCCAGACGAGAGUACCGUACGAAUAAGCAUCGGCUAACUACGUGCCAGCAGCCGCGGUAAUACGUAGGUGGAAAGAGUUAUCCGGUUUUACUGGGGGUAAAGGGCGUGUAGGCGGGAAAGCAAGUCAGAUGUGAAAACCAUGGGCCCAACCUGUGGACUGCAUUUGAAACUGUUUUUCGUGAGUAGUGGAGAGGCAGACGGAAUGCCUGGUGUAGCGGUGAAAUGCGUAGAUAUUAGGAGGAACCCCAGUGGCGAAGGCGGUCUGCUGGACAGCAACUGACGCUGAGGCGCGAAAGCGUGGGGAGCAAACAGGAUUAGAUACCCUAGUAGUC